This 253-nucleotide ribosomal RNA is filed under the name uncultured bacterium. RNAcentral's name for it is "partial 16S ribosomal RNA". It matches the Rfam family "Bacterial small subunit ribosomal RNA", at positions 524 to 776 of the family's 1533-position model. The record is from RNAcentral.
UACGUAGGGACCGAGCGUUGUCCGGAAUCAUUGGGCGUAAAGAGCGUGUAGGCGGCCUUUUAAGUCCUGCGUGAAAUCCUGCGGCUCAACCGCAGACGGUCGUGGGAAACUGGAAGGCUAGAGUGCGGGAGAGGAGAGUGGAAUUCCCGGUGUAGCGGUGAAAUGCGCAGAUAUCGGGAAGAACACCCGUGGCGAAGGCGGCUACCUGGCCUGUAACUGACGCUGAGACGCGAAAGCGUGGGGAGCGAACCGG